Molecule: ribosomal RNA, 294 nt
Filed under: uncultured microorganism
Description: partial 16S ribosomal RNA
Rfam family: Bacterial small subunit ribosomal RNA
Source: RNAcentral
GUGCCAGCAGCCGCGGUAAUACGGAGGGUCCGAGCGUUAAUCAGAAAUUACUGGGCGUAAAGCGUGCGCAGGCGGCUCUCCUAAGCGAGAUGUGAAAGCCCUGGGCUCAACCUAGGAAUAGCAUUUCGAACUGGCGAACUAGAGUCUUGUAGAGGGGGGUAGAAUUCCAGGUGUAGCGGUGAAAUGCGUAGAGAUCUGGAGGAAUACCGGUGGCGAAGGCGGCCCCCUGGACAAAGACUGACGCUCAUGCACGAAAGCGUGGGGAGCAAACAGGAUUAGAUACCCUGGUAGUCC